RNAcentral lists this ribosomal RNA (253 nucleotides) under uncultured bacterium. Its description in RNAcentral is "partial 16S ribosomal RNA". It matches the Rfam family "Bacterial small subunit ribosomal RNA", at positions 524 to 776 of the family's 1533-position model. The record is from RNAcentral.
UACGUAGGGCGCAAGCGUUAUCCGGAAUUAUUGGGCGUAAAGAGUUCGUAGGCGGUUUGUCGCGUCUGCCGUGAAAGUCCGGGGCUCAACUCCGGAUCUGCGGUGGGUACGGGCAGACUAGAGUGAUGUAGGGGAGACUGGAAUUCCUGGUGUAGCGGUGAAAUGCGCAGAUAUCAGGAGGAACACCGAUGGCGAAGGCAGGUCUCUGGGCCGAUACUGACGCUGAGGAGCGAAGGCGUGGGGAGCGAACAGG